AAGGGGGUGGAGGUGCAAAGAGCCGGCUUCCCCUGAAGGGCCUGGCUGCAAGAAUCCCGCUUUGGCCACUAAGCGGUUUUAGCAGAACCACAGAUUCGUUCUGAGGGGGACAAUUUGGAUUCGGAUUCAGCAAGAAGCAGAAAAGGUGCAGACGCGGCCAAGAACAGGGCUCCCUCUGCAAAGAAUCCAAGCCCAAAGGAAACGCGGAAGGGAUGGAGGAGAGAGACGCGGGAAUGAGCAGGGAGUCUCUCCCGUCCUACGCUGGCGACGCAAGGGGGCAUCGGCAGUCGGUGGGAGGCAGAGUGUGGUCUCCCAGCAGAGGCACGUGUGCGGACCUCCAGGCCAGUGUCAGUGGAGGGGGGCUCUGAAGGGUCUGCAGACGCGCCCUCCGGAACCAUCAGGUUUCAGUGGCAUCUAUCCAGAUGAGGUUGGUGGCCCAAAUCCAAAUGUCCCAUUCCUCUGCCCCAUCAUCAGACGACGGGGCAGGGACCCACCGUGACCCGGGUCCGCAGUGAGAGUCGGGGACCGCCCGAGACCAGAGGCCGCCCGAGUCUCGGCUCACUCCCCUCCUUGCGCCCUUCGCCGGGGCGGGCAGCCGGGCGGUCGCCGAGAGACAUCUCGCGGCUACACCCGCAAGGGACUUCCCGCAGGGAAGUUCUCCCAGGCAGCCGGCGGGGCCGCAGGGGACUACGGAAAGGAGGAUGCAACGAGCCCGGGUCCCUCCGAGCUGAGUAGGGCCCGCAGUGGCCCAGGAGCGCUCGGUUCCGAAUGCAAAAAAAUGCCUCCCGCAAACUUUUCCCGUGGGCGCCGGAGGGCCUGGAGCUAGCGGAGAGCAGGGCGCGAGUCCAGACGGGGUCGGCCUGAAGGCAGCCGGCGUCUGGGCUUCGAGGGAAGGAACCGCAGCCGAGGCGGUGCCGGCCGCAGAAGGCUGAGAUUCUGUUUCUGAUAAACCUCCCGAUGCUGCUGAUGCUGCAGGUCUGAAGACCACACUUGGAGAAGCAAGGAUCUAGAAGUCGUUUGUUAUUCAUCGAAUAAAUAUAUUUCCCAUCAUGUUCCAGCUGCCCUGAUUAAACAAGCCACUAUUGUCUUUUCCA
Cercocebus atys (sooty mangabey) is the source of this 1094-nucleotide long non-coding RNA. RefSeq lists it as uncharacterized. The transcript is spliced from 2 exons. NCBI's taxonomy places the organism in Eukaryota, Metazoa, Chordata, Mammalia, Primates, Cercopithecidae. The record is from RefSeq and is a predicted model, not a curated record.